CAAAACGUUAAAAUAUGUUUCAGGUGGGUUCCAAAUACUGUUUAUCACUGAAAGUACGGCGGAAAUUACGGCUGCUGUGAGAAACAGAACCAUAAAAAUUACGUUGCUCACCCAAGCUCCUGCGUUCACCAAAGCUGGGAUAUCUGAAAACAAAAGGGGAACCGAAUGCAGCGUUGUAACAGUGACCCCGCUGGACGACGAGGAUGACCCUCUGGGAGUGCAAGCGAAACUCGGCAAACCACCGGCUAAAAGCGUCUCUACUUCCGUUAUCCUCUCUUCGUGUGUCGACAUACAACUCCAUGCACAGGCGUUCGAACCCCAA
RNAcentral lists this unclassified non-coding RNA (322 nucleotides) under Athalia rosae (coleseed sawfly). Its description in RNAcentral is "misc RNA ENSAEAG00005011719.1". Lineage: Eukaryota; Metazoa; Arthropoda; Insecta; Hymenoptera; Athaliidae. The record is from RNAcentral.